Molecule: ribosomal RNA, 2884 nt
Filed under: Vibrio cholerae HC-43B1
Lineage: Bacteria; Pseudomonadati; Pseudomonadota; Gammaproteobacteria; Vibrionales; Vibrionaceae
Description: bacterial LSU rRNA
Rfam family: Bacterial large subunit ribosomal RNA
Source: RNAcentral
UUAAGUGACUAAGCGUACAGGGUGGAUGCCUGGGCAGUCAGAGGCGAUGAAGGACGUACUAACUUGCGAUAAGCGCAGAUAAGGCAGUAAGAGCCGUUUGAGUCUGCGAUUUCCGAAUGGGGAAACCCAACUGCAUAAGCAGUUACUGUUAACUGAAUACAUAGGUUAACAGAGCAAACCGGGGGAACUGAAACAUCUAAGUACCCCGAGGAGAAGAAAUCAACCGAGAUUCCGGUAGUAGCGGCGAGCGAACCUGGAUUAGCCCUUAAGCACUCGGUGAAGUAGGUGAACAAGCUGGAAAGCUUGGCGAUACAGGGUGAUAGCCCCGUAACCACGCUUCAUCGAGCGUGAAAUCGAGUAGGGCGGGACACGUGAUAUCCUGUCUGAAUAUGGGGGGACCAUCCUCCAAGGCUAAAUACUCCUGACUGACCGAUAGUGAACCAGUACCGUGAGGGAAAGGCGAAAAGAACCCCUGUGAGGGGAGUGAAAUAGAACCUGAAACCGUGUACGUACAAGCAGUAGGAGCACCUUCGUGGUGUGACUGCGUACCUUUUGUAUAAUGGGUCAGCGACUUAUAUUCAGUGGCAAGGUUAACCGUAUAGGGGAGCCGUAGCGAAAGCGAGUCUUAACUGGGCGCUCAGUCUCUGGAUAUAGACCCGAAACCGGGUGAUCUAGCCAUGGGCAGGUUGAAGGUUGAGUAACAUCAACUGGAGGACCGAACCGACUAAUGUUGAAAAAUUAGCGGAUGACUUGUGGCUAGGGGUGAAAGGCCAAUCAAACUCGGAGAUAGCUGGUUCUCCCCGAAAGCUAUUUAGGUAGCGCCUCGGACGAAUACUACUGGGGGUAGAGCACUGUUAAGGCUAGGGGGUCAUCCCGACUUACCAACCCUUUGCAAACUCCGAAUACCAGUAAGUACUAUCCGGGAGACACACGGCGGGUGCUAACGUCCGUCGUGGAGAGGGAAACAACCCAGACCGCCAGCUAAGGUCCCAAAGUAUUGCUAAGUGGGAAACGAUGUGGGAAGGCUCAGACAGCUAGGAUGUUGGCUUAGAAGCAGCCAUCAUUUAAAGAAAGCGUAAUAGCUCACUAGUCGAGUCGGCCUGCGCGGAAGAUGUAACGGGGCUAAGCAAUACACCGAAGCUGCGGCAAUAUCUUUUAGAUAUUGGGUAGGGGAGCGUUCUGUAAGCCGUUGAAGGUGAAUCGUAAGGUUUGCUGGAGGUAUCAGAAGUGCGAAUGCUGACAUGAGUAACGACAAAGGGGGUGAAAAACCUCCUCGCCGGAAGACCAAGGGUUCCUGUCCAACGUUAAUCGGGGCAGGGUGAGUCGACCCCUAAGGUGAGGCCGAAAGGCGUAAUCGAUGGGAAACGGGUUAAUAUUCCCGUACUUCUGACUAUUGCGAUGGGGGGACGGAGAAGGCUAGGUGGGCCAGGCGACGGUUGUCCUGGUUCAAGUGCGUAGGCUUGAGAGUUAGGUAAAUCCGGCUCUCUCUAAGGCUGAGACACGACGUCGAGCUGCUACGGCAGUGAAGUCAUUGAUGCCAUGCUUCCAGGAAAAGCCUCUAAGCUUCAGAUAGUCAGGAAUCGUACCCCAAACCGACACAGGUGGUCGGGUAGAGAAUACCAAGGCGCUUGAGAGAACUCGGGUGAAGGAACUAGGCAAAAUGGUACCGUAACUUCGGGAGAAGGUACGCUCUUGAUGGUGAAGUCCCUCGCGGAUGGAGCUGACGAGAGUCGCAGAUACCAGGUGGCUGCAACUGUUUAUUAAAAACACAGCACUGUGCAAAAUCGCAAGAUGACGUAUACGGUGUGACGCCUGCCCGGUGCCGGAAGGUUAAUUGAUGGGGUUAGCGCAAGCGAAGCUCUUGAUCGAAGCCCCGGUAAACGGCGGCCGUAACUAUAACGGUCCUAAGGUAGCGAAAUUCCUUGUCGGGUAAGUUCCGACCUGCACGAAUGGCGUAAUGAUGGCCACGCUGUCUCCACCCGAGACUCAGUGAAAUUGAAAUCGCUGUGAAGAUGCAGUGUACCCGCGGCUAGACGGAAAGACCCCGUGAACCUUUACUACAGCUUGGCACUGAACAUUGAACCUACAUGUGUAGGAUAGGUGGGAGGCUAUGAAGACGUGACGCCAGUUGCGUUGGAGCCGUCCUUGAAAUACCACCCUUGUAUGUUUGAUGUUCUAACUUAGACCCAUUAUCUGGGUUGAGGACAGUGCCUGGUGGGUAGUUUGACUGGGGCGGUCUCCUCCCAAAGAGUAACGGAGGAGCACGAAGGUGGGCUAAUCACGGUUGGACAUCGUGAGGUUAGUGCAAUGGCAUAAGCCCGCUUAACUGCGAGAAUGACGGUUCGAGCAGGUGCGAAAGCAGGUCAUAGUGAUCCGGUGGUUCUGUAUGGAAGGGCCAUCGCUCAACGGAUAAAAGGUACUCCGGGGAUAACAGGCUGAUACCGCCCAAGAGUUCAUAUCGACGGCGGUGUUUGGCACCUCGAUGUCGGCUCAUCACAUCCUGGGGCUGAAGUCGGUCCCAAGGGUAUGGCUGUUCGCCAUUUAAAGUGGUACGCGAGCUGGGUUUAGAACGUCGUGAGACAGUUCGGUCCCUAUCUGCCGUGGGCGUUGGAAGAUUGAAGGGGGCUGCUCCUAGUACGAGAGGACCGGAGUGGACGAACCUCUGGUGUUCGGGUUGUGUCGCCAGACGCAUUGCCCGGUAGCUAAGUUCGGAAUUGAUAAGCGCUGAAAGCAUCUAAGCGCGAAGCGAGCCCUGAGAUGAGUCUUCCCUGACAGUUUAACUGUUCUAAAGGGUUGUUCGAGACUAGAACGUUGAUAGGCAGGGUGUGUAAGCGUUGUGAGGCGUUGAGCUAACCUGUACUAAUUGCCCGUGAGGCUUAACCAU